GACGAACGCUGGCGGCGUGCCUAAUACAUGCAAGUUGAGCGCUGAAGGUUGGUACUUGUACCAACUGGAUGAGCAGCGAACGGGUGAGUAACGCGUGGGGAAUCUGCCUUUGAGCGGGGGACAACAUUUGGAAACGAAUGAUAAUACCGCAUAAAAACUUUAAACACAAGUUUUAAGUUUGAAAGAUGCAAUUGCAUCACUCAAAGAUGAUCCCGCGUUGUAUUAGCUAGUUGGUGAGGUAAAGGCUCACCAAGGCGAUGAUACAUAGCCGACCUGAGAGGGUGAUCGGCCACCUUGGGACUGUGACACGGCCCAAACUCCUUCGGGAGGCAGCCGUAGGGAAUCUUCGGCCAUGGACGAAAGUCUGACCGCGCAACGCCGCGUGAGUGAAGAAGGUUUUCGGAUCGUAAAACUCUGUUGGUAGAGAAGAACGUUGGUGAGAGUGGAACGCUCAUCAAGUGACGGUAACUACCCAGAAAGGGACGGCUAACUACGUG
RNAcentral lists this ribosomal RNA (497 nucleotides) under uncultured bacterium. Its description in RNAcentral is "partial 16S ribosomal RNA". It matches the Rfam family "Bacterial small subunit ribosomal RNA", at positions 28 to 507 of the family's 1533-position model. The record is from RNAcentral.